RNAcentral lists this unclassified non-coding RNA (354 nucleotides) under soil metagenome. Its description in RNAcentral is "partial contains 5.8S ribosomal RNA, internal transcribed spacer 2, and large subunit ribosomal RNA". The stretch from base 1 to 122 matches the Rfam family "5.8S ribosomal RNA", at positions 35 to 154 of the family's 154-position model. The record is from RNAcentral.
GAUGAAGAACGCAGCGAAAUGCGAUACGUAAUGUGAAUUGCAGAUCUCUCAGUGAACCAUCGAAUUUUUGAACGCACAUUGCGCCCGCCAGUAUUCUGGCGGGCAUGCCUGUUCGAGCGUCAUUACAACCCUCAGGCCCCCGGGCCUGGCGUUGGGGAUCGGCGGAGCCCCCCGUGGGCACACGCCGUCCCCCAAAUACAGUGGCGGUCCCGCCGCAGCUUCCAUCGCGUAGUAGCUAACACCUCGCGACUGGAGAGCGGCGCGGCCACGCCGUAAAACACCCAACUCUUCUGAAGUUGACCUCGAAUCAGGUAGGAAUACCCGCUGAACUUAAGCAUAUCAAUAAGCGGAGGA